This 1318-nucleotide long non-coding RNA is filed under the name Zostera marina. RNAcentral describes it as "long non-coding RNA (ZMAR_LNC004991)". Lineage: Eukaryota; Viridiplantae; Streptophyta; Magnoliopsida; Alismatales; Zosteraceae. The record is from RNAcentral.
UUUGUGUAUGGUAGAAUCUUACUUCUCUGGUAUCAUAAUAAGUUUCAGUGACAGUACUUACUAUCAUAUAAGUUUCGUACAUCGUUAUUAACAUUUCAAAUUUAAAGAAUUUUUUUAGCCGCAUUUUCAUUUAGUUUUUUAACAAUCUUCUAUUUUUCUUGAGCUUUCGAUAAAUAUUCACGUGCCAAACGACGAUCACCAUUGAGAAAAGAGGUAUUUGCCUUUUCAGAAAUAGGAGAAGCUAUUUUGUGUAAAACAAAAAAAUUAAUCAAAUAAAUAAGUAUAGAAUAUUCUUAUAUAAUAAAUGCGCUAUCGAAUAUCAAUCAUUUUAGAAUAUAAUAAAACAAAACUAUACUUGGAUAUUUUGAUUGUUUUUCUACUAUAUAUUGCAUAAGGAUUGUCAUCCUCUUUAUAUUCAGGUUCAAUGGAAAUUGGAUAUUUGACUAUGUAUUUCCUUUUUCUUUUAUCUACUUUUAAGCAAAAAUCUCCAUCAUUUUUCCCGAGUAAUUUUUUCACUUGUUUAUCAUAUUGAUAUGAACUUGUGCUUUACUUUUCGGGAUCAAUAUGAUCCAUGUUUUCCAAAAUGUUAGAAGCCUGAUCUUUAUCAUCGUCUGUAGCUAUUAAGAUUUCCUGGAUGACCUUGUCACUAGAUCAAAUAUAAUUUUUCUUCAAAUAUUCAAAAGACGAGAUGGUAUUUAGAUCCAAAUAAUUUCACUACUCUUAUUUCUGCUGCUUCGAAAUUUUUAUGUAGUUUCUUUUUGUUGUUGAAUAGAAGCCAUGCGUUCAAAAGUGACAGAAUAUUUGUCUCUAUCAUUAUUUUUAUCUAUAAAUAUAUCUUGAAUUGCACCUUCAGUAGCCCAGAUAUGGUUUUGUUCAAACACUCAAGGGAUUAUUUGGUAUUUGGUUUCAAUUUAUUUUCACUGUUAUUAUUUUUUCUGCCUUGACAUUUUGAUGUAGUUUUUUUUUGAAGUUCAGUAAGAACCAUUGUUUCCAAGAAGAGAGCCAACAGAUGGAUUUGGCUGAAAAGGAUCUAGCCAAAUAGUUUGUUGUUCUUCCUUUUUAUUAUUUUGUGUAGAAAAAAAAAUUGUUGUCACCCCUUAUGUUUCAGUGACAAUACUUACUAUUAGAUAUGUUUCGUACAUCGUUAUUAACGUUUCGAAUUUAAAAAAAUUUUUAGCCGCAUUUUCAUUUAGUUUUUUAACAAUCUUCUAUUUUUCUUGAGCUUUCGAUGAAUAUUAUUCACGAGCCAAACGACGAUCACCAUUGAGAAAAGAGGGAUUUGCUUUUUCAGAAAGAGGAGAAGCUACUUUGUGUAAAC